CCUACGGGAGGCUGCAGUGGGGAAUAUUGGACAAUGGGCGAAAGCCUGAUCCAGCCAUGCCGCGUGUGUGAAGAAGGCCUUCGGGUUGUAAAGCACUUUCAGUGGAGAAGAAAGCCUUGGGGCUAAUACCCUCGAGGAAGGACAUCACCCACAGAAGAAGCACCGGCUAACUCCGUGCCAGCAGCCGCGGUAAUACGGAGGGUGCGAGCGUUAAUCGGAAUUACUGGGCGUAAAGCGCGCGUAGGCGGUCUGAUAAGCCGGUUGUGAAAGCCCCGGGCUCAACCUGGGAACGGCAUCCGGAACUGUCAGGCUAGAGUGCAGGAGAGGAAGGUAGAAUUCCCGGUGUAGCGGUGAAAUGCGUAGAGAUCGGGAGGAAUACCAGUGGCGAAGGCGGCCUUCUGGACUGACACUGACGCUGAGGUGCGAAAGCGUGGGUAGCAAACAGGACUAGAUACCCGGGUAGUC
Molecule: ribosomal RNA, 465 nt
Filed under: Vreelandella stevensii
Lineage: Bacteria; Pseudomonadati; Pseudomonadota; Gammaproteobacteria; Oceanospirillales; Halomonadaceae
Description: partial 16S ribosomal RNA
Rfam family: Bacterial small subunit ribosomal RNA
Source: RNAcentral